CCUACGGGAGACAGCAGUGGGGGAUAUUGCACAAUGUGGGAAACCCUGAUGCAGCGACGCCGCGUGAGUGAAGAAGGAUUUCGGGAUGUAAAGCUCUAUCAGCAGGGAAGAAAAUGACAGUACCUGACCAAGAAGCCCCGGCGAACGACGGGCCAGCAGCCGCGGUAAUACGGAGGGGGCAAGCGUUAUCCGGAUUUACUGGGUGUAAAGGGAGCGUAGACGGUUAUGGAAGUCUGGAGUGAAAGCCCGGGGCCCAACCCCGGGACUGCUUUGGAAACUGUGUAACUGGAGUACAGGAGGGGCAGGCUGCAUUCCUGGUGUCGCUGUUCCAUUCGUCGAUCUCAGGAGGACCCCCGGCGGCGAAGGCGGCCUGCUGGACUGCACCUGCCGUUGAGGCUCG
Molecule: ribosomal RNA, 400 nt
Filed under: uncultured bacterium
Lineage: Bacteria
Description: partial 16S ribosomal RNA
Rfam family: Bacterial small subunit ribosomal RNA
Source: RNAcentral